This 274-nucleotide ribosomal RNA is filed under the name uncultured bacterium. RNAcentral describes it as "partial 16S ribosomal RNA". It matches the Rfam family "Bacterial small subunit ribosomal RNA", at positions 523 to 796 of the family's 1533-position model. The record is from RNAcentral.
AUACGGAGGGUGCAAGCGUUAUUCGGAAUCACUGGGCGUAAAGGACGCGUAGGCGGGUUGGCAAGUCAGAUGUGAAAUCCUACAGCUUAACUGUAGAACUGCAUUUGAAACUGCUAACCUAGAGUAUGGGAGGGGGAGAUGGAAUUAGUGGUGUAGGGGUAAAAUCCGUAGAUACCACUAGGAAUACCGAAAGCGAAGGCGAUCUCCUGGAACAUAACUGACGCUAAGGCGUGAAAGCGUGGGGAGCAAACAGGAUUAGAUACCCUAGUUGUCC